Molecule: ribosomal RNA, 512 nt
Filed under: uncultured bacterium
Lineage: Bacteria
Description: bacterial SSU rRNA
Rfam family: Bacterial small subunit ribosomal RNA
Source: RNAcentral
CGCUGCGGCGUGCCUAAUACAUGCAAGUCGAACGCACUCUCGUUUAGAUUGAAGGAGCUUGCUCCUGAUUGAUAACAUUUGAGUGAGUGGCGGACGGGUGAGUAACACGUGGGUAACCUGCCCUAAAGUGGGGGAUAACAUUUGGAAACAGAUGCUAAUACCGCAUAAAACCUAACACCGCAUGGUGUAGGGUUGAAAGAUGGUUUCGGCCAUCACUUUAGGAUGGACCCGCGGUGCAUUAGUUAGUUGGUGAGGUAAAGGCUCACCAAGACCGUGAUGCAUAGCCGACCUGAGAGGGUAAUCGGCCACACUGGGACUGAGACACGGCCCAGACUCCUACGGGAGGCAGCAGUAGGGAAUCUUCCACAAUGGACGAAAGUCUGAUGGAGCAACGCCGCGUGAGUGAAGAAGGUUUUCGGAUCGUAAAACUCUGUUGUUGGAGAAGAAUGUAUCUGAUAGUAACUGAUCAGGUAGUGACGGUAUCCAACCAGAAAGCCACGGCUAACUACGUG